UCCACCUCGACCUCAUGUCCACCUCCAUCCCAACCUCUCCAACCCAUCUUCGUCCCAUCUCCAGCUCCAUCCUCAUCUUCACCUUCAUCUCCGUCCCACCUCCACCUCACGUCCACCUUCGUCUCCGUCCUCAUCUUCAACUUCACUUCGGUCUCCGUCUCAUGUCCACCUCCAGCUCCAUCCCAACUUCUCUAUCCCAUCUCCGCCUCAUGUCCACUUUCAUCCUCAUCUUCAUCCUCGCUUCCACCUCCAGCUCAGAUCCAUCUCCAUCUCAACCUCGCCAGCCCAUCUCCACCUUCAUCUCCAUCCUCAUCCUCACCUUCGCUUCCACCUCAAGUCCACCUCCACGUCCAGCCCAGUGUCUCCGUCCCACCUUCACCUUCAUCUCUGUCCCGUCUCCAUCCCAACGUCUCCAUCCCACCUUCACCUUCAUCUCCAGUCCAUCUCCAUCUCCACCCCAACGUCCCCAGUCCAACGUCUCCAUCCCACCUUCAUCUUCAUCUCCAUCUCCAUCCCAACGUCUCCAUCCCACCUUCACCUUCAUCUCCAGUCCAUCUCCAUCUCCACCCCAACGUCCCCAGUNUCUCUGUCCCGUCUCCAUCCCAACGUCUCCAUCCCACCUUCACCUUCAUCUCCAGUCCAUCUCCAUCUCCACCCCAACGUCUCCAUCCCACCUUCAUCUUCAUCUCCAUCUCCAUCCCAACGUCUCCAUCUCACCUUCAUCUCCAGUCCAUCUCCAUCUCCACCCCAACGUCCCCAGUCCAACGUCUCCAUCCCACCUUCAUCUUCAUCUCCAUCUCCAUCCCAACGUCUCCAUCCCACCUUCAUCUCCAGUCCAUCUCCAUCUCCACCCCAAUGUCCCCAGUCCAAUGUCUCCAUCCCACCUUCAUCUUCAUCUCCAUCCCAACGUCUCCAUCCCACCUUCAUCUUCAUCUCCGUCCCACCUCCAUCCCAACAUCUCCAUGCCACAUUCACGCUCAUCUCCACCCCAGCGUCUCCAUCCCAUCUCCAUCUCCGUCCCACCUCAAUCCCAAUGUCUCCAUCCCACCUCCACCUUCAUCUUCAUCUCCAUUCCAACGUCUCCACCCCCCCUUCAUCUUCAUCUCUGUCCCAUCUCCACCUCAAAGUCUCCAUCCCACCUUCACCUUCAUCUCCGUCCCAUAUCCACCUCCACUCCAACAUCUGUAUCCCAACAUCUCCAUCCCACCUUCAUCUUCAUCUCCGUCCCACCUCCAUGCCAACAUCUCCACGCCACCUGCACCAUCAACUCCACCCCCCUUCAUCUUCAUCUCUGUCCCAUCUCCAUCCCAACAUCUCCAUCCCACCUUCAUCUUCACCUCCGUCCCACCUCCAUCCCAACAUCUCCAUCCCACCUUCACCUUCAUCUCUGUCCCACCUCCACCCUAACAUCUCCACCCCAACAUCUCCACUCCACCUUCAUCUCUGUCACACCUCCAUCCCAAUGUCUCCAUCCCACCUUCAUCUUCAUCCCCGUCCCACCUCCAUCCCAACAUCUCCAUCCCACCUUCAUCUCUGUUCCAUCUCCACCUGAAUCCCAACGUCUCCACCCCAACGUCUCCAUCCCACCUUCAUCUUCAUCUCCAUCCUAUCUCCAUCCCAAUGUCUCCAUCCCACCUUCAUCUCCAGCUCUACUCCAAUGUCUCCACCCCAACAUCUCCAUCCCACCUUCAUCUUUAUCUCCAUCCCACCUCCAUCCCAACACCUUCACGCCAACUCCACCAUCAUCUCCACCCCACCUUCGUCUUCAUCUGUCUCUGUCUCAUCUCCAUCCCAAUGUCUUCAUCCCCAUUCCAUCUCCAUCUGAAUCUCAACGUCUCCACCCCAAUGUCUCCAUCCCAACGUUUCCAUCCCACCUUUGUCUUCAUCUCCAUCCCACCUCCAUCCCAACAUCUCCAUCCCACCUUCGUUUUCAUCUCCAUCCCACCUCUAUGCCAACGUCUCCAUCCCACCUUCAUCUCCAUCUCACUUCCGUCUCAACGUCUCCAUCUCCAUUCCAUCUCCAUCUAAAUCCCAACGUCUCCAACCCAAUGUCUCCACCCCAACAUCUCCAUCCCACCUUCAUCUCCAUCUCACUUCCGUCUCAACGUCUCCAUCUCCGUUCCAUCUCCAUCUAA
This is a long non-coding RNA of Buteo japonicus, 2135 nucleotides long. The record is from Ensembl. Lineage: Eukaryota; Metazoa; Chordata; Aves; Accipitriformes; Accipitridae.